AAUUGAAUAGGUGAUGACGUUCACCAAUUAAACUGAGCAAAAUCUAACGACGUCUACUUCCUA
This is a non-coding RNA of Lactobacillus johnsonii NCC 533, 63 nucleotides long. The record is from Rfam. NCBI's taxonomy places the organism in Bacteria, Bacillati, Bacillota, Bacilli, Lactobacillales, Lactobacillaceae.